AGGUCAAGGAGAACAGUUACCAGUAGGUAAUCAUCCUACACUGCCUCUGCAACACGCCUCCCAGCAUGGCUAGAUAUAAGGCCGCUUGCGACCGAAUAGCCACACUCGUCUGCGGACUUCAGCAUCAACCAUGAACAUACUGAGUAUACUGCUGUUGAUCGUGGCGGCGGCGGCGGCUAGUGUAAUGGCCCAGCAGAAACCAACUAUUUUGCUGGAGGACCCAUCUAACCUGCAGAAUCGUAUGUGGGUGCAGCCUCCACGUUUCCACUACCGCGGUUUCAACCGCCCCCAAAUGGCUGCGGGUUGGCCGUGACUGUCUACACGCUUCUGCAGAAAUCUGGUCACGACGAACUGCUGGGCCCUUGAUAAGCCUUCACUCGAUAAAUGACAGUAUAAGUAACAUGGUAGAAGAAGAUACAUGAUAGAUACACUUCCAAAUUACUCGGUGAAACUCAAACCAGUAUACCACUGUUUCCACUUCCACUGAAUUCACCUUUUGUAAUAUCAAGAAAUAUAUACCAUAUCCA
Scylla paramamosain (green mud crab) is the source of this 527-nucleotide long non-coding RNA. RefSeq lists it as uncharacterized. The transcript has 2 exons. The record is from RefSeq and is a predicted model, not a curated record. Lineage: Eukaryota; Metazoa; Arthropoda; Malacostraca; Decapoda; Portunidae.